ACGCUGGCGGCAGGCCUAACACAUGCAAGUCGAGCGGAAACGACACUAACAAUCCUUCGGGUGCGUUAAUGGGCGUCGAGCGGCGGACGGGUGAGUAAUGCCUAGGAAAUUGCCUUGAUGUGGGGGAUAACCAUUGGAAACGAUGGCUAAUACCGCAUGAUGCCUACGGGCCAAAGAGGGGGACCUUCGGGCCUCUCGCGUCAAGAUAUGCCUAGGUGGGAUUAGCUAGUUGGUGAGGUAAUGGCUCACCAAGGCGACGAUCCCUAGCUGGUCUGAGAGGAUGAUCAGCCACACUGGAACUGAGACACGGUCCAGACUCCUACGGGAGGCAGCAGUGGGGAAUAUUGCACAAUGGGCGAAAGCCUGAUGCAGCCAUGCCGCGUGUAUGAAGAAGGCCUUCGGGUUGUAAAGUACUUUCAGUUGUGAGGAAGGGUGUGYAGUUAAUAGCUGCGCAUCUUGACGUUAGCAACAGAAGAAGCACCGGCUAACUCCGUGCCAGCAGCCGCGGUAAUACGGAGGGUGCGAGCGUUAAUCGGAAUUACUGGGCGUAAAGCGCAUGCAGGUGGUUCAUUAAGUCAGAUGUGAAAGCCCGGGGCUCAACCUCGGAACUGCAUUUGAAACUGGUGAACUAGAGUACUGUAGAGGGGGGUAGAAUUUCAGGUGUAGCGGUGAAAUGCGUAGAGAUCUGAAGGAAUACCAGUGGCGAAGGCGGCCCCCUGGACA
RNAcentral lists this ribosomal RNA (723 nucleotides) under Vibrio sp. 1B11. RNAcentral describes it as "bacterial SSU rRNA". It matches the Rfam family "Bacterial small subunit ribosomal RNA", at positions 33 to 735 of the family's 1533-position model. Lineage: Bacteria; Pseudomonadati; Pseudomonadota; Gammaproteobacteria; Vibrionales; Vibrionaceae. The record is from RNAcentral.